Small nuclear RNA from Lepus europaeus (European hare), 102 nucleotides. Lineage: Eukaryota; Metazoa; Chordata; Mammalia; Lagomorpha; Leporidae. The record is from RefSeq and is a predicted model, not a curated record.
CAGCACAUAUACUAAAAUACACAUACUAAAACAAUACGGAGAAGAUUAACAUGGCCCCUGCACAAGGAUGAUAUGCAAAUUCGUGAAGCGUUCCAUAUUUUA